CUAGGAAUUUUCCGCAAUGGGCGAAAGCCUGACGGAGCGACGCCGCGUGGGGGAAGAAGGUCCUUCGGGAUUGUAAACCUCUUUUCUGUGGGAGGAGAUAGGACUGUACCACAGGAAUAAGCCCCGGCAAACUACGUGCCAGCAGCCGCGGUAAUACGUAGGGGGCUAGCGUUGUUCGGAAUUACUGGGUCUAAAGGGUGCGUAGGCGGGCUAUCAAGCAAGGGGUGAAAGUCCACAGCUUAACUGUGGGAUUGCCUUUUGGACUGAUAGUCUGGAGUGCAGGAGGGGAGAGCAGAAUUCCCGGUGUAGGGGUAAAAUCUAUAGAUAUCGGGAAGAAUACCGGUCGCGAAGGCGGCUCUCUGGACUGUAACUGACGCUGAGGCACGAAAGCGUGGGGAGCGAACCGGAUUAGAUACCCGGGUAGUCCACGCUGUAAACGUUGCACACUUGAUGGUUGGGGCGUUAGCCCUGGCUGUCGGAGCGAAGGUAUUAAGUGUGCCACCUGGGGAGUAUGGUCGCAAGGCUG
RNAcentral lists this ribosomal RNA (526 nucleotides) under uncultured Chlorobiota bacterium. RNAcentral describes it as "bacterial SSU rRNA". It matches the Rfam family "Bacterial small subunit ribosomal RNA", at positions 355 to 896 of the family's 1533-position model. The record is from RNAcentral. Lineage: Bacteria; Pseudomonadati; Chlorobiota.